GAUGAACGCUGGCGGCGUGCCUAAUACAUGCAAGUCGAGCGAACAGAUGAGGAGCUUGCUCCUCUGACGUUAGCGGCGGACGGGUGAGUAACACGUGGAUAACCUACCUAUAAGACUGGGAUAACUUCGGGAAACCGGAGCUAAUACCGGAUAAUAUAUUGAACCGCAUGGUUCAAUAGUGAAAGACGGUUUUGCUGUCACUUAUCGAUGGAUCCGCGCCGCAUUCGCUAGUUGGUAAGGUAACGGCUUACCAAGGCAACGAUGCGUAGCCGACCUGAGAGGGUGAUCGGCCACACUGGAACUGAGACACGGUCCAGACUCCUACGGGAGGCAGCAGUAGGGAAUCGUCCGCAAUGGGCGAAAGCCUGACGGAGCAACGCCGCGUGAGUGAUGAAGGUCUUCGGAUCGUAAAACUCUGUUAUUAGGGAAGAACAAAUGUGUAAGUAACUAUGCACGUCUUGACGGUACCUAAUCAGAAAGCCACGGCUAACUACGUG
RNAcentral lists this ribosomal RNA (497 nucleotides) under uncultured bacterium. RNAcentral describes it as "partial 16S ribosomal RNA". It matches the Rfam family "Bacterial small subunit ribosomal RNA", at positions 28 to 507 of the family's 1533-position model. The record is from RNAcentral.